AGUGAACGCUGGCGGUAGGCCUAACACAUGCAAGUCGAACGGCAGCACAGUAAGAGCUUGCUCUUACGGGUGGCGAGUGGCGGACGGGUGAGGAAUACAUCGGAAUCUACUUUUUCGUAGGGGAUAACGUAGGGAAACUUACGCUAAUACCGCAUACGACCUACGGGUGAAAGCAGGGGAUCUUCGGACCUUGCGCGAUUGAAUGAGCCGAUGUCGGAUUAGCUAGUUGGCGGGGUAAAGGCCCACCAAGGCGACGAUCCGUAGCUGGUCUGAGAGGAUGAUCCGCCACACUGGAACUGAGACACGGUCCAGACUCCUACGGGAGGCAGCAGUGGGGAAUAUUGGACAAUGGGCGCAAGCCUGAUCCAGCCAUACCGCGUGGGUGAAGAAGGCCUUCGGGUUGUAAAGCCCUUUUGUUGGGAAAGAAAAGCAGCAGGUUAAUACCCCGCUGUUCUGACGGUACCCAAAGAAUAAGCACCGGCUAACUUCGUG
Molecule: ribosomal RNA, 492 nt
Filed under: uncultured bacterium
Lineage: Bacteria
Description: partial 16S ribosomal RNA
Rfam family: Bacterial small subunit ribosomal RNA
Source: RNAcentral